RNAcentral lists this ribosomal RNA (524 nucleotides) under uncultured bacterium. RNAcentral's name for it is "partial 16S ribosomal RNA". It matches the Rfam family "Bacterial small subunit ribosomal RNA", at positions 28 to 523 of the family's 1533-position model. The record is from RNAcentral.
GACGAACGCUGGCGGCGUGCCUAAUACAUGCAAGUCGAGCGCAGGAAGCUGACGGAACUCUUCGGAGAGAAGGCAGUGGAAUGAGCGGCGGACGGGUGAGUAACACGUAAGGAACCUGCCUCAAGGAUUGGGAUAACUCCGAGAAAUCGGAGCUAAUACCGGAUAGUUCAACGGACCGCAUGGUCCGCUGAUGAAAGGCGCUUCGGCGUCACCUUGAGAUGGCCUUGCGGUGCAUUAGCUAGUUGGUGGGGUAACGGCCCACCAAGGCGACGAGGCAUAGCCGAACUGAGGGGGUGAUCGGCCACACUGGGACUGAGACACGGCCCAGACUCCUACGGGAGGCAGCAGUAGGGAAUCUUCCACAAUGGACGAAAGUCUGAUGGAGCAACGCCGCGUGAGUGAUGAAGGUUUUCGGAUCGUAAAACUCUGUUGUAAGGGAAGAACACGUACGAGAGGGAAUGCUCGUACCUUGACGGUACCUUACGAGAAAGCCACGGCUAACUACGUGCCAGCAGCCGCCGUAA